This 253-nucleotide ribosomal RNA is filed under the name uncultured bacterium. RNAcentral's name for it is "partial 16S ribosomal RNA". It matches the Rfam family "Bacterial small subunit ribosomal RNA", at positions 524 to 776 of the family's 1533-position model. The record is from RNAcentral.
UACGUAGGGGGCUAGCGUUGUCCGGAAUCAUUGGGCGUAAAGCGCGCGUAGGUGGCCACAUAAGUCCGUUGUGAAAGUCAAAGGCUCAACCUUUGAAAGCCGGUGGAUACUGUCGGGCUAGAGUACGGAAGAGGCAAGUGGAAUUCCUGGUGUAGCGGUGGAAUGCGCAGAUAUCAGGAGGAACACCGGUGGCGAAGGCGGGAUCCUGGGCCAGUACUGACGCUGAGGAGCGAAAGCGUGGGGAGCAAACAGG